This is a long non-coding RNA of Lycium barbarum (goji berry), 673 nucleotides long. RefSeq lists it as uncharacterized. Lineage: Eukaryota; Viridiplantae; Streptophyta; Magnoliopsida; Solanales; Solanaceae. The transcript has 4 exons. The record is from RefSeq and is a predicted model, not a curated record.
UUUCAUAAUUUUUAUUUUCUUUCUUACAUUUAGAUUUGGACUUAAGAAGCCCAUGUAAAUAAUAUACAAAAAUGGCCCAUAAGGAAAUGAACAUCAGAUAUCCAAAACGUAAUGCAUAUCAGCAUAUGUAUCUAAAAAGCCCAUAUUCACCUACAACCCUUCUCCCAAAAUCAGAUCUUCAUAUCCCUUUCUCAUUUCACAAAAGUCGUCGUUCUCCACUUCUCAUUUUCUCAUUUUAGAUCCCUCUUUUGCUUUCCUCUCAAAUCAGCAACCCUACAGACUACACUCUUAGGUUUUCCUCUCAACUUUACACUAAAUUGUAUUUCGCGAUGGAAGCUACAACUUCUGGAACUAAAUCGCUAGUGAUUGACAACAACCCUCCGAUUGCGCCAACAGAAUCUCAACAACAACAAGGCUGCAGCCUUUGUUUAUUUUUGCCCAGUUGCUGUAGUAUAGUGCACUGAUUUGGAUUUUUGCCCAAUCUUCAAGCUGUAGUGAUUUGGAUUUUUGCCCAAUCUUCAAGCUGCAGUUAUUCCUUUCAGUUGCUGUAGUAUAUUGCACUGAUUUGGAUUUUUGUUUUUGCUACAUCUGACAUUUUAUGGCCAUUUGACAUUUUAGUUAUACUAUAAAGUUAAAACUUCAAAUAGUGUUUUGCCUCCAUCUUAUAUGUUGA